UCCUAUAUAAGGUUCUAUCUUGUCAAAUCUCAAAGUGGGACACUAUGCUAAAUAAAGAACAUCGAAAAAAAAUAAUGCCACGUACCAAACAAAGUCUAUUAAAAAAGAGAGCUUGUAUAAAAAUGCAACCAUCAUCUGCCAAGGUAAGGCUAUCACCACUAACUUCAAGUAAUUUUAAUAGUAAGUAUUCUAGUUUGGCAAACAAGGGAGUAUUACAACCUUCUAAAGGAAGAUCACACUACAGCCUUUUAAGUAACAAGUCAAUAUUAGAUUCAUUAUGCCAAUAAAUUUAACAAACGCAUUUUUCGAAGAAUGGAACCAUCUUAUCAUAGUCAAUUAAACAUAUGCAAAUGGUCAUUUUUGCUAAAUUCUAAACAUACCAACAAAUGGAACUUCAUACCAUAACAUGAAAAGAACGAUUGGCAGAAAGUUCAUGUAACAAAGGUUCUCACAAUUGAAAUCAGCUUCAAUAUUGUCUUCAUAGGAUAUACAUAAAUUACAAACUCAGCGCAAAGCAUUCAGAAUUUAGGCCAUCAAACACCAUGGUUAAUACUCCCAACGCAUACUAUUCAAGCAUUAGUGCAGACUACAAACCUUCAUAUGCAAAGCAAUAUAAUCUGGAUUGCGCAAAGCAAAGUUGUGAACACAGUAAAAUAAAUUUAGGAUUAGAUUUCCUAAAUAAGAAUAAGUUAUCCUUAUGAUUAUGUUUAAUAUCAAACCGCAGUGGAAUGGAUAAGUCCAAAAAAAUAGUAAUCAAUAUUCGUCAUCAUGUUAAAGCAACUAUGAAGACUGUUUACUAUCACGUACGUAACAAAGGAAUCAAAUAAGAAAGAAAACCCAAGUCAGAAAUUAGAAAACCUGGUUAGGGAUCACGUCAUAAUCAAGAAUCCAAGAUGACAUUUAAUGCAAAC
RNAcentral lists this long non-coding RNA (911 nucleotides) under Oryza brachyantha (malo sina). RNAcentral describes it as "long non-coding RNA (OBRA_LNC003039)". Lineage: Eukaryota; Viridiplantae; Streptophyta; Magnoliopsida; Poales; Poaceae. The record is from RNAcentral.